UACGUAGGGUGCGAGCGUUGUCCGGAAUUAUUGGGCGUAAAGAGCUCGUAGGCGGUGUGUCACGUCGGCCGUGAAAACCUGGGGCUUAACUCUGGGCGUGCGGUCGAUACGGGCAUCACUAGAGUUCGGCAGGGAAGACUGGAAUUCCUGGUGUAGCGGUGAAAUGCGCAGAUAUCAGGAGGAACACCGGUGGCGAAGGCGGGUCUCUGGGCCGAUACUGACGCUGAGGAGCGAAAGCAUGGGUAGCGAACAGG
This 254-nucleotide ribosomal RNA is filed under the name uncultured bacterium. RNAcentral describes it as "partial 16S ribosomal RNA". It matches the Rfam family "Bacterial small subunit ribosomal RNA", at positions 524 to 776 of the family's 1533-position model. The record is from RNAcentral.